This 1547-nucleotide ribosomal RNA is filed under the name Aporocotylidae sp. ex_Pangasius_cf_macronema_17. RNAcentral describes it as "partial large subunit ribosomal RNA". It matches the Rfam family "Eukaryotic large subunit ribosomal RNA", at positions 87 to 1266 of the family's 3401-position model. Lineage: Eukaryota; Metazoa; Platyhelminthes; Trematoda; Strigeidida; Aporocotylidae. The record is from RNAcentral.
CUGCGAGUGAACAGGGAUUAGCCCAGCACCGAAGCCUAUGGUUGUUUAGCCAUUAGGCAAUGUGGUGUUUAGGUGUGCUCUUGGCGAUGCCACUCUAUCCAAAGUCCAGCAAUGAGUAUGGCUGCUUGCUUCCCAAAGAGGGUGAAAGGCCCGUAUGGGUGGAGUUGGUUGUUGUCCUGGGUAUGCCUUGGAGUCGGGUUGUUUGAGAAUGCAGCCCAAAGCAGGUGGUAAACUCCAUCUAAGGCUAAAUACUGGCACGAGUCCGAUAGCGAACAAGUACCGUGAGGGAAAGUUGAAAAGUACUUUGAAGAGAGAGUAAACAGUGCGUGAAACCGCUCAGAGGUAAACGGAUGGAGUUGAACUGGAAGCUUCGGGGAUUCAGCUGAUGAGUGUGGAUCGGCAUUCGGGGUUGUUUAUUUAACUGCAAGUUCUUUCUCUUUCGAGGGUUGGAAUGCGCGGAGGCUUGUCAUGUUUCGUGUACCCUGGGUGUUGGUUAUGCUUGUCAGUGCACUUUCUCGGAGUUAUCACCACGACCAGCGCUGUCACUUGUCUGCUGUGGUCAAACCGUUCGGGCUUGGUCUUUGAUUGGGCCUGUUCGGGAUGGCAGGUUGCUCGUUUGUUCAGCAAUGGGCUUUCGAGUUUAUUGGCCGGCUAUGGUGGAUGUAUGUGAUGUGCUGGAGAUUGCGGUCUGUGCUUUCAUGCGCUCUGUGUCCUUCUGGCUUGGUCGAGUCUGAUUGAUUGCCACAUGUUGAAUUACAGGUCUGUUAGUGGCUCGGUCAUGUUCGGUUGGCUGGGGCGUGUGGUACUUUGAAGGGCCUAUAGUCUGUGGUGUAGCGGUAGACGAUCCAUCCGACCCGUCUUGAAACACGGACCAAGGAGUAUAAUAUGCGCGCGAGUCAUUGGGAAUUACGAAACCCACAGGCGCAAUGAAGGUAAAGGUUCGGCUUGUCCGGACUUAGGUGAGAUCCUGGCGUUUCCUUUGCUUUUAGCUUUCGAGCGUCAGGCGCAUCACCGGCCCUCCCCAUGACGUAGCCAUAUGGCCUUGAGCUGUGUGCACCGUCGGGGUGGAGCUAGAGCGCGCAUGUUGUGACCCGAAAGAUGGUGAACUAUGCUUGCAUAGGUUGAAGCCAGAGGAAACUCUGGUGGAGGACCGUAGCGAUUCUGACGUGCAAAUCGAUCGUCAAAUGUGAGUAUAGGGGCGAAAGACUAAUCGAACCAUCUAGUAGCUGGUUCCCUCCGAAGUUUCCCUCAGGAUAGCUGGCGCUUUGAAAUUGAAAUACUUUUAUCCGGUAAAGCGAAUGAUUAGAGGUAUUGGGGAUAAAACGUCCUCAACCUAUUCUCAAACUAUAAAUGGGUGAGAUGCCUCGCUCGCUCAUUUGGAGUGUUGCGUUGAAUAUGAGUGCCAAGUGGGCCAUUUUUGGUAAGCAGAACUGGUGCUGUGGGAUGAACCAAACGCUCGGAUAAGGUGCCUAACGGGGCGCUCAUGAGAUACCACAAAAGGUGUUGGUUGGUAUAGACAUGCAGGACGGUGGCCAUGGAAGUAGGAA